Molecule: long non-coding RNA, 834 nt
Organism: Labeo rohita (rohu)
Lineage: Eukaryota; Metazoa; Chordata; Actinopteri; Cypriniformes; Cyprinidae
Exons: 3
Source: RefSeq, a predicted model, not a curated record
UAACAUAUUUUCAUAACAGCAGCUGUUUGAACAGGCAGGGCGCUUCCGGAACAACAACAUUAACAUUCAGGUUCACAACCUGUAAACGACGCUUGUGUUUGAAGGCAAAUUUCUGGGAACGAAACAGAUACAGUAGAAACUGUACGUUCUGUACACCAUGGUAUGACUUGUGAUAAAAGCCGGCUCCUAUGUGGUGCGCAAGAUCCGUGCUGCGCUGACAGACAGGGAGCAAACAGAACAACCUGUUCGCACAUCAUGUAGUCUGGCUAAAGGUAAAAAGGAGCGCUAUGCAUCAGACGCGGCAUUAAUGAACGCCCCAGAGCCUCAGGGUGCUGCUGGAUCAUCUGCAUCUACAGAGAGAGCUGUAAAGCAAUGUGGUUCCUGAGGUUAAAGGUCACGCAGAAGCAAAUCUGGGCUGAAAAAAACAGCAUUGCUGGACACCAGCAUUUGUCGCUGGUGUGCUGGCGUUUCAACAAGGCCAUCCAAACUGGGCUUUUAAGUAAAGAUUUUAGCAGAAGGCUCAGUCCAGUUUUGCUCUGCGUGACCUGUUGUUCUUAGAUGCCAACACUUGCUCCUCCUCUCUCUUUCUUUGUCUCUUUCUCUUGUUCUGAUUCCUGUCAGCUGUAGUUUGUGAAGGUCUGUUCAUUAACCUCUACCUCAGGGGCGGUUCAGAUCUGAUGUUUACCUACAGCUUUUUUAUUUAUACUCAGCAACUAACUGACUAUACAUUGACUAAAGACAUAUUGCUGUCAGUAACAAUAAAAGCUGACACUAUUUAUAAGAUUUUACCAUUUUUGUAACUUUAAAAACAAAAAAUAAAACGGUCCAAUCUUU